RNAcentral lists this ribosomal RNA (223 nucleotides) under uncultured bacterium. RNAcentral's name for it is "partial 16S ribosomal RNA". It matches the Rfam family "Bacterial small subunit ribosomal RNA", at positions 328 to 539 of the family's 1533-position model. The record is from RNAcentral.
ACGCUCGACACCUACGGGAGGUAGCAGUAGGGAAUCUUCCACAAUGGACGCAAGUCUGAUGGAGCAACGCCGCGUGAGUGAAGAAGGUCUUCGGAUCGUAAAACUCUGUUGUUAGAGAAGAACACGAGUGAGAGUAACUGUUCAUUCGAUGACGGUAUCUAACCAGCAAGUCACGGCUAACUACGUGCUAGCAGCCGCGGUAAUCUGAGCGGGCUGGCAAGGC